This 253-nucleotide ribosomal RNA is filed under the name uncultured bacterium. RNAcentral's name for it is "partial 16S ribosomal RNA". It matches the Rfam family "Bacterial small subunit ribosomal RNA", at positions 524 to 776 of the family's 1533-position model. The record is from RNAcentral.
UACGUAGGUGGCAAGCGUUGUCCGGAAUUAUUGGGCGUAAAGCGCGCGCAGGCGGUCCUUUAAGUCUGAUGUGAAAGCCCUCGGCUCAACCGAGGAGGGUCAUUGGAAACUGGAGGACUUGAGUGCAGAAGAGGAAAGUGGAAUUCCAAGUGUAGCGGUGAAAUGCGUAGAUAUCGAGAGGAACACCUGCGGCGAAGGCGGGUUGCUGGGCUGACACUGACGCUGAUGUGCGAAAGCUAGGGGAGCGAACGGG